This 251-nucleotide ribosomal RNA is filed under the name uncultured bacterium. Its description in RNAcentral is "partial 16S ribosomal RNA". It matches the Rfam family "Bacterial small subunit ribosomal RNA", at positions 528 to 779 of the family's 1533-position model. The record is from RNAcentral.
CGAAGGGCUAGCGUUGCUCGGAAUCACUGGGCGUAAAGGGCGCGUAGGCGGACUCUUAAGUCGGGGUGAAGCCCAGGGCUCAACCCUGGAAUUGCCUUCGAUACUGAGAGUCUUGAGUUCGGAAGAGGUUGGUGGAACUGCGAGUGUAGAGGUGAAAUUCGUAGAUAUUCGCAAGAACACCAGUGGCGAAGGCGGCCAACUGGUCCGAUACUGACGCUGAGGCGCGAAAAGCGUGGGGAGCAAACAGGAUU